AUUCUCCUGGGGUGUUUGCCAGUUCAGUUUUGUCCCUGGCCGAUGCUAUUUAACCUGGAAAUUGAUUCCACUACUAUUGUGCAAGCUUGGCUAGUAUCAAGACGCCUACGGUAGUGAUGAUGUUUCCGCCCUGAACUUUCGGUUCACGGGCCCACACCGAACAGCGGCAUUUUGGGAGAUUC
Molecule: non-coding RNA, 182 nt
Filed under: Aliiglaciecola lipolytica
Lineage: Bacteria; Pseudomonadati; Pseudomonadota; Gammaproteobacteria; Alteromonadales; Alteromonadaceae
Also listed under: 2 other names
Description: 6S RNA
Rfam family: 6S / SsrS RNA
About the family: E. coli 6S RNA was the first non coding RNA to be sequenced, but its function was unknown until recently. It consists of 184 nucleotides that fold into an extended hairpin structure with a large single-stranded internal bulge.
Source: RNAcentral